RNAcentral lists this long non-coding RNA (5514 nucleotides) under Vitis vinifera (wine grape). RNAcentral describes it as "long non-coding RNA (VVIN_LNC007481)". The record is from RNAcentral. Lineage: Eukaryota; Viridiplantae; Streptophyta; Magnoliopsida; Vitales; Vitaceae.
GAUAAAAGUCUAAUGCUACACGGGGAUAGAAGAAAUCCCUGGGAGUCAUCAGGUGCUCCAUAUAGUACCUCUGCAGCAAAUGAAAGGAAUCUCUAAGCUCUGGCUAAAGCCUGAAGGUAGCUCUAUCAAAGCAAAGCUUUGAGUGGAAUGACCUAGCUCGACAAUCCAAGUUACCCUCAAUGGGUGGCUGAGUGACCAUGGGCCGCCUGAUAAUCACCUCCGGAGUCAUCCCAGAGGGAAUCUAAGACUCUGUGGCAGGUAGCUGAGGAUCUGAUGGCUCAACUGGAGAUGAUAUCCUUGCCUUCUUCUUAGGAGAACGGCUACCUGACUUUUUGGCACGAGAGGAGAUUACCCCGGGUGUGGUGGGUGGUCUCCUCGUCUCAUAUCGCCUCGAAUGAGAACUCAGAGGCGGUUCUCUAUUGAAGGUGGGACGACCAGUGGCUGUGAAGGCUCAGUCAUGGAGCCUUGUACAGGGGCCACUCUCGGUCCUCUGGGGCGGCCUGAAGGAGAUGAGGUUUUAGCUCCUCGGGUUUUUGCCAUGGAUGAUUCAGAGAGGUUUGAGAGAAGGUGGCCGGAGGUGCGCGUGCGGCUUGGGCUCAGAUGGAGGUCCUCUGAAAAUGGUGCUCUGGCUUGGCUCUAUUUCGCACCAAAUGGAGGUUUUCGCAAGGCAAAUGAUCGGUUUAAAGUGAAAAAUGGAAUUUAAAAAGUUUAAAUUAGAAGCCAAGUGACGGUUGGAAUUUUUCGUAGAGGAGGGGGCAUUUUGCAGCGAAGUCCCAUUUUCCCAGCCAAUGGCCAUUUUCGCAGCUGCGAAAUGAGGGGGUGGGGCUUCGAAAUGGCACUCGUGUGCCAAAGGGGGGUUUCACAGGGGUUUUCGAAGCUGUGAAAUGGGGCUUGGGCUGGGAAAUGGAGGUUUGGGAGCCUUGGGUGAUUUUGUAGAGGAUUUCGCAGAUGCGAAAUGGAGGUUUCGCAGAUGCGAAAUGGAGGCAUGGGCUGCAAAAUGGCACUCGUGUGCCAAAGGUGGGUUUCAUAGCUACGAAAAUUUUCGCAGGGGAUGGCUAUGAGGCUGCGAAAUAGUUUCGUAGAUGAGGGCCCAUUUCGCAGCAAACCCUUGAUUUCGCAGUGGGCACCUUGUGGUUGCGAAAUUAUUUCAUAAAGGAUGGCCAUUUUCGCAGGGGACUAUUUUGGGCUGCGAAAUUUCGAAGACCACUGAAAUUUCUUGCUUCUGAGCUCCUUUUGGCUCCUUGAGACCUUCCUUCACCUCUUUUGCAAUUCCUCCUAAAUUAGAUCAUUCAAAAAGUUUAAGUUACAUAAAAAUAACAUAAAUUAAGACCAAAAUUAAAAUCAAAACAAUUAAUAAAGCUCUUAAACUAGCAAAAUUAAACAAAAAAUAUGGACUUUGGUGAGACCAAGUCCAUCUAACCCCUUUCUAAUUAGGAUUUAUGUGGCUCAAGGAGGUUGAUUUCCUCCUUAUUUUGCUUGAAUGGCUCAAUGAAUGGUUUGAGAUGAUGGCCAUUGACUUUAAAGGUGUCAGUGCUGUUGGAAUUUAGCAAUUCCACCACUCCAUUGAGAUGCACUUGGUGAAUAAUGAAAGGGCCUAUCCACCUUGACUUCAGUUUCCCAGGAAAGAUAUGGAGCCUUGAGUCAUAGAGUAAGACUCUUUGUCCUUUUCGGAAUUCUUUGUUGGAGAUUAACUGAUCAUGCCAUCUCUUCAUCCUCUGUUUUACAACUUUGGAAUUGAUGUAGGCAUCAUUUCUUAAUUCCUCCAUCUCAUUAAGGUCUAAGCACCUCUUUGCCCUGGCUCUGAUCAAGUCCAUGUUAAUCUUCUUGAUUGCCCACCAAGCCUUAUAUUCAACUUCCACGGGGAGAUGGCAUGCUUUGCCAUAGACUAGGCUAUAUGGAAACAUGCCAAGAAUAGUCUUAUAAGUUGUUCUAUAUGCCCAUAGUGAAUCAUGGAGCUUAAUAGACCAAUCUCUUCUACUCAUGUUCACCACCUUCAUCAAUAUAUUCUUGAUUUCCCUGUUUGCUAGCUCAACUUGCCCGGAAGUCUGAGGGUGAUAAGGUGUAGCUACCUUAUGCUUCACCCCAUACUUGGCUAAUAGGGUUUCAAAAGGUUUGUUGCAAAAAUGAGUACCUCCAUCACUGAUUAUGGCCUUGGGCACCCCAAAUCUUGAGAAGAUGUUCUCUUUGAGAAACUUGAGAACCACCCUGUGAUCAUUGUGUUUACAGGGGAUUGCCUCAACCCAUUUAGAAACAUAGUCCACCCCCACCAAGAUAUAAGAGUUGCCAAAAGACAUUGGGAAAGGUCCCAUGAAGUCAAUGUCCCAAACAUCAAAGAGAUCAACUAUUAGAAUGGGGUUCAUAGGCAUCUGAUUUGUUCGUGUAAGCUUCCCGAGCCUUUGGCAUCUAUCACAACUCCUACACAUGGUGUGGGCAUCUUUGAAAAGUGAUGACCUACUAAACCAUGAUUGCAACACCUUCAUGGCUGUUUUCUGGGAAGCAAAGUGGCCUCCACAUGCACUCUCAUGGCAAUGACUGAGGAUUCCUUAUUGAUCUUCUUCAGGGACACACUUCCUUAUUAUUUUAUCUGCACAAUACUUGAAAAGGAAAGGUUCUUCCUAAUAAUAAGCAUGAAUCUUUGCAAAGAAGUGUUUCCUGUCUUGUGCUUUCCACUCUCUUGGAACUUCACCAGUAACUAGAUAGUUAGCAAUAUGAGCAUACCAAGGAGUUUUUUCUAGCAACAUAAGUGAUUCCUCUGGAAAGUCAUCAUUAAUAGGUAAGAUAUGGGAAUUGUGUGCUAUAGCCAACCUUGAUAUUUCUGGAUAGAAUAUACAAACCCAUCUUUUUUCUUUUGAUAUUUCUGGAUUGAUAAAACUCAUUUUUGAAAAUUGGAAGGAGAAAAACAAAAAAUUGAAAAUUCCGAAUUAUGCAGAGGAAAAGACAAGGGAGAAAAGACAGAAGGCCAAAAGAGAGGAAAAAACACGGAUAAAAAUAACCGAAGUAUGGGAUACCGUCCUAUUUGCUCAAGUAAUAAGAGGUUGCUUGUUAUUAACCCAAUCAAUUUUUCGAAAAUAUAUUAUAUUACCUUCAUUGAUAAUAGCUAAAAAAAUCGGUCGUAUGCUAUUAUUUCAAUCUCCCGAGUGGUCCGAAGAUUUAAAGGAUUGGAAUCGAGAAAUGCAUGUUAAAUGCACCUAUAAUGGUGUUCAAUUAUCAGAAACAGAAUUUCCGCAAAACUAGUUAAAAGACGGUAUUCAAAUAAAGAUCCUAUUUCCUUUCUGUCUGAAACUUUGGCACAAACCUCAAGAAAGGUCCCUUGAUAAAGAUUCAAUGAAAGAUAAAGUAAAAAAAUUUUUGUUUUUUAACAGUUUGGGGAAUGGAAACUGAUCUGCCUUUUGGUUCUCCCCGAAAACGACCUUUCUUUUUAAACCCAUUUUGAAAGAACUUGAAAAAAGAAUUCGAAAAUUUAAAAACAAGUGUUUUCUAGUUCUAACAGUUUUAAAAGAACGAACAAAAUUGUUUAUAUUUUUAAGGGUCUCAAAAGAAACAAAAAAAUGGGUUAUCAAAAGUGUUCUAUUUAUAAAUAUAAAAAAAAAAAUAAAAGAACUCUUAAAAAUAAAUCCAACUCUAUUAUUUGGAUUGAGAGAAGUAUAUGAAUCUAGUGAAACUCAAAAACAAAAGGAUUCGAUAAUCAAUAAUCAGAUGAUUCACAAAUCGUCUAUUCAAAUUCGAUCUAUGAAUUGGACAAAUUAUUCACUGACAGAAAAAAAAGUGAAAGAUCUGACUGAUAGAACAAACACAAUUACAAAAAAAAUAGAAAAAAUUAUAAAAGACAAGAAAAAACUCUUUCUAACUCCAGAGAUAAAUAUUAGCCCUAACAAAGCUAGUUAUAAUGCUAAAAGAUUAGAAUCACAAAAAAGCAUUUGGCAAAUAUUAAAAAGAAGGAAUUCUCGAUUAAUUCGCAAAUUACAUUAUUUUAUAAAAUUUUUCAUUGAAAGGAUAUACAUAGAUAUUCUUCUAUGUCUCAUUAAUAUUCCCAGAACCAAUGCACAAAUUUUUAUUGAAUCAACAAAAAAAAUUAUUGAUAAAUACGUUUACAAUAAUGAAAGAAAUCAAAAAAGAAUUGGUAAACCAAAUCAAAAGAAAAUUCACUUUCUUUCGAUUAUAAAAAGGUCAGUUUCUAGUAUUAGUAAUAAGAGUUCACAGAUUUUUUGUGACUUAUCCUCCUUGUCACAAGCGUAUGUAUUUUACAAAUUAUCACAAACCCAAGUUAUUAACUUGUAUAAGUUAAGAUCUGUCCUUCAAUAUAAUGGAACAUCUCUUUUUCUUAAGAACGAAAGAAAAGAUUAUUUUGGUUUUGGAGCACACGAAAUAUUUCAUUACGAAUUAAGACAUAAGAAACUUCAUAAUUCUGGAAUGAAUCAAUGGAAGAACUGGUUAAGAGGUCAUUAUCAAUAUAAAUAUUUAUCUCCGAGUAUAUGGUCUAGAUUAGUACCACAAAAGUGGCGAAAUAGAGUAAAUCAACAUUGUGUGGCUCAAAAUCAAAAUAAAGAUUUAAGCAAAUGGGAUUUAUCUCAAAAAGAUCAAUUAAUUCAUUAGAACAAACAAAAUGAUUAUGAAGCAGACUCAUUAACGAAUCAAAAAGAAAAUUUUAAAAAACACUAUAAAUAUGACUUUUUAUCAUAUAAAUAUAUUAAUUAUGAAGAUAAGAAUGACUCAUAUAUUUAUGGAUCACCAUUACAAGUAAAUAAUAACCAAGAUAUUUCUUAUAAUUACAACACACAUAAACGCAAAUUUUUUGAUAUGCUGGAAGGUAUCCCUAUCAAUAAUUACCUAGGCGAAGAUGAUAUUAUGUAUAUAGAGUAUAUAAAGAAAAACCCGGAUAGAAAAUAUUUUGAUUGGAAAAUUCUCCAUUUUUGCUUUAGAAAGAAGGUCGAUAUUGAGGUCUGGAUCAAUACCAGUAUCAACAGUAAUAAAAAUACCAAGACCGGGUCGAAUAAUUAUCAAAUAAUUGAUAAGAAAGGUCUUUUUUAUCUCACACAAGAUCAAGAAAUCAAACCAUCCAACCAAAAAGACCUUUUUGAUUGGAUGGGGAUGAAUGAAGAAAUACUAAAUCGUUCCAUAUCGAAUUUGGAACCUUGGUUCUUCCUAGAAUUUGUGCUACUUUAUAAUACAUAUAAAAUGAAACCUGGGUUAUACCAAUCAAAUUACUUCUUUUAAAUUUUAAUGGAAAUAAAAAUUAUAGUAAAAAUAGAAAUAGCAAUAGAAAGCAAAAAGGAAAUCUUUUUAUAUCAUCCAAUGAAAAAAAACUUUUAAAAUUAGAGAAUCGAAAUCAAGAAGAAAAAGAAUCCGCAGGACAAGUAGAUCUUGGAUCAGAUGUACAAAACCAAGGAAAUCUUGAAUCAGUCCUCUCAAACCACGAAAAAGAUAUUGAAGAAGAUUAUGCAGGAUCAGACUCAGACAUGCAAAAACGUACAAAGAAAAAGCAAUUCAAGAAUCACACGGAAGCAGAACUCCAUU